GUGAAUCAUCAAAUUUUUGAACGCAAAUUGCACUCUCUGGCAUUCCGGAGAGUAUGCCUGUUUGAGGGUCAGUUUAAAUAAAAAUCGAGGUGUUGCUUUUGUGUGACCCAUCGGAAUUGGGGUAUCCUUGAUCUUUUAAAGGUUUAAUUGACCUAAAAUUGAUACCUUGUGCAUCUCAGACGUACAUAAGAAUAUUAUUUUAUCCGUCCGGAGUUGACAACUUUUAUUAGGUAUGACCAUAUUGUUUGUGGCAUCGUAUCUGUACUAUAUACUCUUAUGUUGAC
RNAcentral lists this unclassified non-coding RNA (284 nucleotides) under Glomeraceae sp. RNAcentral describes it as "partial contains 5.8S ribosomal RNA and internal transcribed spacer 2". The stretch from base 1 to 71 matches the Rfam family "5.8S ribosomal RNA", at positions 84 to 154 of the family's 154-position model. The record is from RNAcentral. Lineage: Eukaryota; Fungi; Glomeromycota; Glomeromycetes; Glomerales; Glomeraceae.